This 567-nucleotide small RNA is filed under the name Pan troglodytes (chimpanzee). Its description in RNAcentral is "retained intron". Lineage: Eukaryota; Metazoa; Chordata; Mammalia; Primates; Hominidae. The record is from RNAcentral.
GGCUGUAGUGGGAGUGUUCGAGGAUUCGCGUUGUAUAUUUAAAGUUGGAGUUCGUUGCUAAAGAUGGCAGACCCAGAUGUCCUCACUGAAGUUCCAGCAGCAUUGAAGCGGUUAGCCAAGUAUGUGAUCCGGGGAUUUUAUGGCAUUGAGCAUGCUCUGGCCUUGGACAUCUUGAUCAGGAACCCUUGUGUGAAAGAGGAGGAUAUGCUGGAGCUGCUCAAGUUUGAUCGGAAGCAACUUCGAUCAGUUUUGAAUAAUUUAAAGGGAGACAAGUUUAUCAAAUGCAGAAUGAGGGUAGAGACUGCUGCAGAUGGGAAAACCACUCGCCAUAACUACUACUUCAUCAGUUAUCGUACUCUUGUUAAUGUGGUAAAAUAUAAACUGGACCACAUGAGAAGAAGAAUUGAGACCGAUGAGAGAGAUUCGACCAACCGGGCUUCCUUCAAAUGUCCUGUCUGUAGUAGUACUUUCACAGACUUAGAAGCUAAUCAGCUCUUUGAUCCUAUGACAGGUGAGGUUUAUCCAGUUUGUGAAUCUUUAAAAUAAAGUGUGUAUUACCUUUUUUCU